UGGGCGACACCUCCAUGGCUCUGGGUGACAUCUCUGUGGGUGACAUCUCCAUGGGUGGCAUCUCCGUGGGUGACACUUCCCCAGGUGACAUGUCCAUGGGUGACACCUCCACGGUUGCGGGUGACAUCUCCACGGGUGACGUCUCCAUGGUUACAGGUGACAUCUCCAUGGGCGACACCUCCAUGGCUCUGGGUGACAUCUCCAUGGGUGACAUCUCCAUGGUUGUGGGUGACAUCCCCGUGGUCAACACUUCCCCAGGUGCCACCUCUGUGGGUGCCAUCUCCAUGGGUGACACCUCCAUGGUGGUGGGUGCCAUCUCCACGGGUGACGCUUCCCCAGGUGCCAUCUCCAUGCUUGUGGGUGACAUCUCCGUGGGUGCCAUCUCCAUGGCUCUGGGUGCCACCUCCAUGGUGGUGGGUGACAUCCCCAUGGGCGACACUUCCCCAGGUGCCACCACCGUGGGUGCCACCUCCGUGGGUGCCAUCUCCAUGGUGGUGGGUGCCAUCUCCAUGGGUUCCAUCUCCGUGGUGGUGGGUGUCAUCUCCGCGGGUGACGCUUCCCCAGGUGCCAUCUCCAUGGGUGACACCUCCAUGGGUGCCACCUCCAUGGUGAUGGGUGACAUCUCCAUGGGCGACGCUUCCCCAGGUGCCACCUCCAUGGUGGUGGGCGCCAUCUCCAUGGGCGCCAUCUCCAUGGGCGCCAUCUCCGUGGUGGUGGGCGCCAUCUCCGCGGGUGACGCUUCCCCAGGUGCCACCUCCGUGACCCCGGGUGCCGUCCCCGUGGUGCCAGGCGCGCCCGUCCCGCGUCCCCCUGGCGUUGAGGAGCUGCUGCCGCCGCCCGUCCCCCCCCGCCCCCCAGGCGCCGUUGUCCCCGUUGGCGCCGGGCGUCGCGCCGCCCUUGGCCAUGCUGCCCGCCAUGUUGCGCAGCACGAACUCCACGAUGUCGGAGGGCAGGUCCUCGCCGUCCCCGCGCCGUCCCCGCUCCCCGUCGUCCACCCCGUCCAGCUGGUCGAUGUGGGGCGG
This is a long non-coding RNA of Numida meleagris (helmeted guineafowl), 1022 nucleotides long. The record is from Ensembl. NCBI's taxonomy places the organism in Eukaryota, Metazoa, Chordata, Aves, Galliformes, Numididae.